Molecule: ribosomal RNA, 485 nt
Filed under: uncultured bacterium
Lineage: Bacteria
Description: bacterial SSU rRNA
Rfam family: Bacterial small subunit ribosomal RNA
Source: RNAcentral
GAUGAACGCUGGCGGCGUGCCUAAUACAUGCAAGUCGAACGAGGUGCUUUUGUAGCAAUACGAGAGUAUCCUAGUGGCGAACGGGUGAGUAACGCGUUGGUGACCUACCCCAAAGUGUGGGAUAACAGUCCGAAAGGAUUGCUAAUACCGCAUGUGGUCUUCGGGUUUAGAAACUGAUGACUAAAGGAGCAAUUCGCUUUGGGAGGGACCUGCGUCCCAUCAGCUAGUUGGUGAGGUAAUGGCUCACCAAGGCUACGACGGGUAGGGGACCUGAGAGGGUGACCCCCACAAUGGAACUGAAACACGGUCCAUACACCUACGGGUGGCAGCAGUAGGGAAUAUUGCACAAUGGGCGAAAGCCUGAUGCAGCAACGCCGCGUGUGCGAUGAAGGCCUUCGGGUCGUAAAGCACUUUUCUGGGAGAUGAGCAAGGACAGUAUCUCAGGAAUAAGUCUCGGCUAACUACGUGCCAGCAGCCGCGGUAAU